Molecule: ribosomal RNA, 254 nt
Filed under: uncultured bacterium
Lineage: Bacteria
Description: partial 16S ribosomal RNA
Rfam family: Bacterial small subunit ribosomal RNA
Source: RNAcentral
UACGGGGGGAGCAAGCGUUGUUCGGAUUUACUGGGCGUAAAGGGCGCGUAGGCGGCCACCGCAAGUCGACUGUGAAAUCUCCGGGCUUAACCCGGAAAGGUCAGCCGAUACUGCGGGCUAGAGUGCAGAAGGGGCAACUGGAAUUCUCGGUGUAGCGGUGAAAUGCGUAGAUAUCGAGAGGAACACCUGCGGCGAAGGCGGGUUGCUGGGCUGACACGUGACGCUGAGGCGCGAAAGCGUGGGUAGCAAACAGG